Molecule: transfer RNA, 69 nt
Filed under: Teratoscincus roborowskii
Lineage: Eukaryota; Metazoa; Chordata; Lepidosauria; Squamata; Sphaerodactylidae
Description: tRNA-Tyr
Rfam family: tRNA
About the family: Transfer RNA (tRNA) molecules are approximately 80 nucleotides in length.
Source: RNAcentral
GGUAAGAUGGCCGAGAGUAGGCAGCGAGCUGUAGACUCGUGCACAGGGGUUCAAGUCCACUUCUUAUCA